AUCCGAAAGAAUAUCAGUUGUGCAUGAAGGAAUCUACAGUCAGCAACCAAAAUACAGCAACUUCAGGUACGGCAAAGGAAGGACAGACACAGCUAUAAACUUGAUGGGAUGGGAGGA
Etheostoma spectabile (orangethroat darter) is the source of this 117-nucleotide long non-coding RNA. RefSeq lists it as uncharacterized. The transcript has 3 exons. NCBI's taxonomy places the organism in Eukaryota, Metazoa, Chordata, Actinopteri, Perciformes, Percidae. The record is from RefSeq and is a predicted model, not a curated record.